GAUUUCAACUGAAAAAGUCAUUAACAACAAAGUUGUAUAACUCAUCAAGAUCUAUAACUUUUAUUUUGGUCAUUUCAUUAUCCGACAAAGUGAUAGUAACAUUGUUCACAAAAUUCACAUAUCUCUCAUCUAGUUUUAUAAACUAUAACACAGAUAUGUAAUUUUGUGAACAAUGUUACUAACACUUUGUCGGAUGAAGAAAUGGCUAAAAUAAAAGUUAUAGAUCUUGAUGAGUUAUAUAACUUUGUUGUUGAUGACGUUUUUAGUUGAAAUC
This is a non-coding RNA of Oryza barthii, 274 nucleotides long. NCBI's taxonomy places the organism in Eukaryota, Viridiplantae, Streptophyta, Magnoliopsida, Poales, Poaceae. The record is from Rfam.